GACGUAAUUAGACUCGAGCACUGUGAUCAAUAAUAUGCUACAAUCAAGAACACGUGUGAAAUCGAGGCGAUAUUAAUCUAUUGCGACUAAUGCUAAUCAAACAAACGUCAUCGUCUUCCUUCAAACUCUGCACAACGUACAAGUUUUUCAAAUUACAAGCUACCCACUUGAUAUUUUCGUCGCAAUUCCAUCAGCCUUUGCUAUGCAGAGAAAACGACUAGCUUCGUUAAUAAUACGUUACGACCGAAAAAACGUGAGAGAUCAAGGCGAGCCUAAUCUAUUACAUCACGACCAACCGGAUGAACGUUCGUUUUCUUUCAAAUCCCACGCGAAAUAGCAGAGCAUCGCUCAUCGAGGGACCAAUUGGAUACUCGACGACGCAAUUAGAUGUGACCACAUCCACCGAUAUUACAGUUGAAAAUUAUGAAUCUUAGUCGUAGAAAUAAAUGUAUAGGAACACUCACAUUACACGCGGAAAUGAUAUUAAAAUAGUUUCAUAUUUAUUUAAUAUGUGAUUUACAAGAUAUUCGUGGAUAUACAUUGCACUCGUCUCAGCACUCUUUUUGUUUCACCAUCUUUCUAUCACUAUGCGUACAGAACAGUUGCGUUGAG
Molecule: unclassified non-coding RNA, 612 nt
Filed under: Bombus terrestris (buff-tailed bumblebee)
Lineage: Eukaryota; Metazoa; Arthropoda; Insecta; Hymenoptera; Apidae
Description: misc RNA ENSBTSG00005021906.1
Source: RNAcentral